GGGGAUGUAAAGGUUUCGACGGGGGUGUAGAAGCCGGAUAAGCGAGCCGUAGCUGCCAGGUCUACGUUAAAAAUGGCACGUUUAAAUAUAAACGCUAAAAACAACAAUAAACUCGCAUUUGCUGCUUAAUUAACGCAGCCCGCGUGUCAGCUCAGGUUCACCUGCAGACCUGAGAUCUGGCAACGACCAUGCAGGAAAACUCUGCGGGAGUUCCCGGUACCGCAGGGGAACUACGGGAUAGCAAGGGACAAAGCCUGCUGAUGGGCGGUGCCCCGCGCGAACGAUAAAACAUCAGCUGCGCUCGGAGAAAAUCCCGUGGAAAUGCUUUCGGACAGGAGUUCGAUUCUCCUCAUCUCCACCA
Molecule: transfer-messenger RNA, 361 nt
Filed under: Anaerovoracaceae
Lineage: Bacteria; Bacillati; Bacillota; Clostridia; Peptostreptococcales
Also listed under: 2 other names
Description: Avanaerovorax faecigallinarum Standard tmRNA
Rfam family: transfer-messenger RNA
About the family: Bacterial tmRNA, also known as 10Sa RNA or SsrA, is named for its dual tRNA and mRNA-like properties. Its role is to liberate the mRNA from a stalled ribosome.
Source: RNAcentral